This 303-nucleotide ribosomal RNA is filed under the name uncultured bacterium. RNAcentral describes it as "partial 16S ribosomal RNA". It matches the Rfam family "Bacterial small subunit ribosomal RNA", at positions 507 to 807 of the family's 1533-position model. The record is from RNAcentral.
AGCAGCAGCCGCGGUAAUACGAAGGGUGCAAGCGUUAAUCGGAAUUACUGGGCGUAAAGCGUGCGUAGGCGGUUUGUUAAGUCUGUUGUGAAAUCCCCGGGCUCAACCUGGGAAUGGCAAUGGAUACUGGCAAGCUAGAGUGUGUCAGAGGAUGGUGGAAUUCCCGGUGUAGCGGUGAAAUGCGUAGAGAUCGGGAGGAACAUCAGUGGCGAAGGCGGCCAUCUGGGACAACACUGACGCUGAGGCACGAAAGCGUGGGGAGCAAACAGGAUUAGAUACCCGGGUAGUCCCUGUCUCUUAUAC